This 880-nucleotide ribosomal RNA is filed under the name uncultured Sphingobacteriia bacterium. RNAcentral describes it as "bacterial SSU rRNA". It matches the Rfam family "Bacterial small subunit ribosomal RNA", at positions 58 to 936 of the family's 1533-position model. The record is from RNAcentral. Lineage: Bacteria; Pseudomonadati; Bacteroidota; Sphingobacteriia.
CAAGUCGAGGGGCAGCGCGGGUAGCAAUACCUGGCGGCGACCGGCAAACGGGUGCGGAACACGUACGCAACCUUCCUUUAAGCGGGGGAUAGCCCAGGGAAACUUGGAUUAAUACCCCAUAGGACGUCAGGGUGGCAUCACCUGGACGUUAAAGCUCCGGCACUUAAAGAUGGGCGUGCGGCUGAUUAGGUAGUUGGCGGGGUAAUGGCCCACCAAGCCGACGAUCAGUAACUGGUGUGAGAGCACGACCAGUCACACGGGCACUGAGACACGGGCCCGACUCCUACGGGAGGCAGCAGUAAGGAAUAUUGGUCAAUGGACGCAAGUCUGAACCAGCCAUGCCGCGUGGAGGAUGAAGGUCCUCUGGAUUGUAAACUUCUUUUAUUGGGGAAGAAACCUGGAUUAUCUAGUUCAGUUGACGGUACCCGAUGAAUAAGCACCGGCUAACUCCGUGCCAGCAGCCGCGGUAAUACGGAGGGUGCAAGCGUUAUCCAGAUUCACUGGGUUUAAAGGGUGCGUAGGUGGGCAGGUAAGUCAGUGGUGAAAUCUCCGGGCUUAACCCGGAAACUGCCGUUGAUACUAUCUGUCUUGAAUAUAGUGGAGGUGAGCGGAAUAUGUCAUGUAGCGGUGAAAUGCUUAGAUAUGACAUAGAACAUCGAUUGCGAAGGCAGCUCGCUACGCUAUUAUUGACACUGAGGCACGAAAGCGUGGGGAUCAAACAGGAUUAGAUACCCUGGUAGUCCACGCCCUAAACGAUGGAUACUCGACAUCAGCGAUAAACAGUUGGUGUCUGAGCGAAAGCAUUAAGUAUCCCACCUGGGAAGUACGACCGCAAGGUUGAAACUCAAAGGAAUUGACGGGGGUCCGCACAAGCGGUGGA